AGAGUUGAUCCUGGCUUAGGACGAACGCUGGCGGCAUGCCUAACACAUGCAAGUCGAACGGAAGUAGAAAUACUUUAGUGGCGAACGGGUGAGUAACACGUGAGCAACCUGCCUUAUACACAGGGAUAACAGUUGGAAACGACUGCUAAUACCGGAUAAGACCACACUAUGGCAUCAUAGAGGGUCAAAGCGAAUAAGCGGUAUAAGAUGGGCUCGCGUCCAAUUAGCUAGUUGGUGAGGUAACGGCCCACCAAGGCGACGAUUGGUAGCCGACUUGAGAGAGUGAUCGGCCACACUGGAACUGAGACACGGUCCAGACUCCUACGGGAGGCAGCAGUGGGGAAUAUUGGGCAAUGGAGGAAACUCUUACCCAGCAAAUGCCGCGUGAGUGAUGAAGGUCUUUGGAUUGUAAAGCUCUUUGAUUGGGGACGAAUAAAUGACGGUACCCAAAGAACAAGCCCCGGCUAACUAUGUGCCAGCAGCAGC
RNAcentral lists this ribosomal RNA (486 nucleotides) under uncultured bacterium. Its description in RNAcentral is "bacterial SSU rRNA". It matches the Rfam family "Bacterial small subunit ribosomal RNA", at positions 8 to 518 of the family's 1533-position model. The record is from RNAcentral.